AGAGUUUGAUCCUGGCUCAGGACGAACGCUGGCGGCGUGCUUAACACAUGCAAGUCGAACGGUGACGAGGAGCUUGCUCCUCUGAUCAGUGGCGAACGGGUGAGUAACACGUGAGCAACCUGCCCCAGACUCUGGGAUAACAGUUGGAAACAGCUGCUAAUACCGGAUACGAGACGGAGAGGCAUCUCUACCGUCUGGAAAGUUUUUCGGUCUGGGAUGGACUCGCGGCCUAUCAGCUAGUUGGUGAGGUAAUGGCUCACCAAGGCGACGACGGGUAGCCGGCCUGAGAGGGCGACCGGCCACACUGGGACUGAGACACGGCCCAGACUCCUACGGGAGGCAGCAGUGGGGAAUAUUGCACAAUGGGCGAAAGCCUGAUGCAGCGACGCCGCGUGAGGGAUGACGGCCUUCGGGUUGUAAACCUCUUUCAGCAGGGAAGAAGCGAAAGUGACGGUACCUGCAGAAGAAGCACCGGCUAACUACGUGCCAGCAGCCGCGGUAAUACGUAGGGUGCGAGCGUUGUCCGGAAUUAUUGGGCGUAAAGAGCUUGUAGGCGGUUUGUCGCGUCUGCAGUGAAAAAUCCGAGGCUCAACCUCGGACUUGCUGUGGGUACGGGCAGACUAGAGUAUGGUAGGGGAGACCGGAAUUCCUGGUGUAGCGGUGGAAUGCGCAGAUAUCAGGAGGAACACCGAUGGCGAAGGCAGGUCUCUGGGCCAUAACUGACGCUAAGAAGCGAAAGCAUGGGGAGCGAACAGGAUUAGAUACCCUGGUAGUCCAUGCCGUAAACGUUGGGCGCUAGGUGUGGGGCUCAUUCCACGAGCUCCGUGCCGCAGCUAACGCAUUAAGCGCCCCGCCUGGGGAGUACGGCCGCAAGGCUAAAACUCAAAGGAAUUGACGGGGGCCCGCACAAGCGGCGGAGCAUGCGGAUUAAUUCGAUGCAACGCGAAGAACCUUACCAAGGCUUGACAUAUACCGGAAACAUCCAGAGAUGGGUGCCCCGCAAGGUCGGUAUACAGGUGGUGCAUGGUUGUCGUCAGCUCGUGUCGUGAGAUGUUGGGUUAAGUCCCGCAACGAGCGCAACCCUCGUUCUAUGUUGCCAGCGCGUAGUGGCGGGGACUCAUAGGAGACUGCCGGGGUCAACUCGGAGGAAGGUGGGGAUGACGUCAAAUCAUCAUGCCCCUUAUGUCUUGGGCUUCACGCAUGCUACAAUGGCCGGUACAAAGGGCUGCGAUACCGCGAGGUGGAGCGAAUCCCAAAAAACCGGUCUCAGUUCGGAUUGGGGUCUGCAACUCGACCCCAUGAAGUCGGAGUCGCUAGUAAUCGCAGAUCAGCAACGCUGCGGUGAAUACGUUCCCGGGCCUUGUACACACCGCCCGUCAAGUCACGAAAGUCGGUAACACCCGAAGCCGGUGGCCCAACCCUUGUGGAGGGAGCCGUCGAAGGUGGGACUGGCGAUUGGGACUAAGUCGUAACAAGGUA
This 1479-nucleotide ribosomal RNA is filed under the name metagenome. RNAcentral's name for it is "bacterial SSU rRNA". It matches the Rfam family "Bacterial small subunit ribosomal RNA". The record is from RNAcentral.